This 254-nucleotide ribosomal RNA is filed under the name uncultured bacterium. RNAcentral describes it as "partial 16S ribosomal RNA". It matches the Rfam family "Bacterial small subunit ribosomal RNA", at positions 524 to 776 of the family's 1533-position model. The record is from RNAcentral.
CACGUAGGGGGCGAGCGUUGUCCGGAUUUAUUGGGCGUAAAGAGCUCGUAGGCGGCUCGGUAAGUCGGGUGUGAAACCUCCAGGCUCAACCUGGAGACGCCACCCGAUACUGCCGUGGCUAGAGUCCGGUAGAGGAGCGUAGAAUUCCUGGUGUAGCGGUGAAAUGCGCAGAUAUCAGGAGGAAUACCAGCGGCGAAGGCGGCGCUCUGGGCCGGUACUGACGCUGAGGAGCGAAAUCGUGGGGAGCAAACAGG